RNAcentral lists this ribosomal RNA (897 nucleotides) under Haemophilus influenzae. RNAcentral describes it as "bacterial SSU rRNA". It matches the Rfam family "Bacterial small subunit ribosomal RNA", at positions 1 to 884 of the family's 1533-position model. The record is from RNAcentral. Lineage: Bacteria; Pseudomonadati; Pseudomonadota; Gammaproteobacteria; Pasteurellales; Pasteurellaceae.
ACUUGAAUUGAAGAGUUUGAUCAUGGCUCAGAUUGAACGCUGGCGGCAGGCUUAACACAUGCAAGUCGAACGGUAGCAGGAGAAAAGCUUGCUUUCUUGCUGACGAGUGGCGGACGGGUGAGUAAUGCUUGGGAAUCUGGCUUAUGGAGGGGGAUAACGACGGGAAACUGUCGCUAAUACCGCGUAUUAUCGGAAGAUGAAAGUGCGGGACUGAGAGGCCGCAUGCCAUAGGAUGAGCCCAAGUGGGAUUAGGUAGUUGGUGGGGUAAAUGCCUACCAAGCCUGCGAUCUCUAGCUGGUCUGAGAGGAUGACCAGCCACACUGGAACUGAGACACGGUCCAGACUCCUACGGGAGGCAGCAGUGGGGAAUAUUGCGCAAUGGGGGGAACCCUGACGCAGCCAUGCCGCGUGAAUGAAGAAGGCCUUCGGGUUGUAAAGUUCUUUCGGUAUUGAGGAAGGUUGAUGUGUUAAUAGCACAUCAAAUUGACGUUAAAUACAGAAGAAGCACCGGCUAACUCCGUGCCAGCAGCCGCGGUAAUACGGAGGGUGCGAGCGUUAAUCGGAAUAACUGGGCGUAAAGGGCACGCAGGCGGUUAUUUAAGUGAGGUGUGAAAGCCCUGGGCUUAACCUAGGAAUUGCAUUUCAGACUGGGUAACUAGAGUACUUUAGGGAGGGGUAGAAUUCCACGUGUAGCGGUGAAAUGCGUAGAGAUGUGGAGGAAUACCGAAGGCGAAGGCAGCCCCUUGGGAAUGUACUGACGCUCAUGUGCGAAAGCGUGGGGAGCAAACAGGAUUAGAUACCCUGGUAGUCCACGCUGUAAACGCUGUCGAUUUGGGGGUUGGGGUUUAACUCUGGCGCCCGUAGCUAACGUGAUAAAUCGACCGCCUGGGGAGUACG